RNAcentral lists this ribosomal RNA (449 nucleotides) under uncultured bacterium. Its description in RNAcentral is "SSU rRNA". It matches the Rfam family "Bacterial small subunit ribosomal RNA", at positions 26 to 518 of the family's 1533-position model. The record is from RNAcentral.
AGAGCGAACGCUGGCGGCAGGCUUAACACAUGCAAGUCGAGCGGGCGUAGCAAUACGUCAGCGGCAGACGGGUGAGUAACGCGUGGGAACGUACCUUUUGGUUCGGAACAACCCAGGGAAACUUGGGCUAAUACCGGAUAAGCCCUUACGGGGAAAGAUUUAUCGCCGAAAGAUCGGCCCGCGUCUGAUUAGCUAGUUGGUGGGGUAAUGGCCCACCAAGGCGACGAUCAGUAGCUGGUCUGAGAGGAUGAUCAGCCACAUUGGGACUGAGACACGGCCCAAACUCCUACGGGAGGCAGCAGUGGGGAAUAUUGGACAAUGGGCGCAAGCCUGAUCCAGCCAUGCCGCGUGAGUGAUGAAGGCCCUAGGGUUGUAAAGCUUCUUUGUGCGGGAAGAUAAUGACGGUACCGCAAGAAUAAGCCCCGGCUAACGUUCGCGCCAGCAGCCGC